CGCAUACGUCCUACGGGAGAAAGCAGGGGACCUUCGGGCCUUGCGCUAUCAGAUGAGCCUAGGUCGGAUUAGCUAGUUGGUGAGGUAAUGGCUCACCAAGGCGACGAUCCGUAACUGGUCUGAGAGGAUGAUCAGUCACACUGGAACUGAGACACGGUCCAGACUCCUACGGGAGGCAGCAGUGGGGAAUAUUGGACAAUGGGCGAAAGCCUGAUCCAGACAGGCCGCGUGUGUGAAGAAGGUCUUCGGAUGUAA
RNAcentral lists this ribosomal RNA (255 nucleotides) under uncultured bacterium. RNAcentral describes it as "partial 16S ribosomal RNA". It matches the Rfam family "Bacterial small subunit ribosomal RNA", at positions 170 to 428 of the family's 1533-position model. The record is from RNAcentral.